UACGAAGGGGGCUAGCGUUGCUCGGAAUUACUGGGCGUAAAGGGCGCGUAGGCGGACAGUUUAGUCAGAGGUGAAAGCCCAGGGCUCAACCCUGGAAUUGCCUUUGAUACUGGCUGUCUUGAGUACGGGAGAGGUGUGUGGAACUCCGAGUGUAAAGGUGAAAUUCGUAGAUAUUCGGAAGAACACCAGUGGCGAAGGCGACACACUGGCCCGUUACUGACGCUGAGGCGCGAAAGCGUGGGGAGCAAACAGG
Molecule: ribosomal RNA, 253 nt
Filed under: uncultured bacterium
Lineage: Bacteria
Description: partial 16S ribosomal RNA
Rfam family: Bacterial small subunit ribosomal RNA
Source: RNAcentral